Centrocercus urophasianus (Greater sage-grouse) is the source of this 6139-nucleotide long non-coding RNA. RefSeq lists it as uncharacterized. The record is from RefSeq and is a predicted model, not a curated record. NCBI's taxonomy places the organism in Eukaryota, Metazoa, Chordata, Aves, Galliformes, Phasianidae. The transcript has 2 exons.
AUUAUACAAUUCUAAUGCAGAAACAACACUUGAUUCUCACAUGAGGAUGCAGUGAGAACAGAUGCAUGAAGUGACAUGAGUAUUUUGAUCAGUACAAGCUUGACAGAAGAUGUCUUUCCAGAGAAAAUAGGCUAAGGCAGAAGAGUUAACAAAUACUUGUUAUUUUUGGCACUCAGAGUUCAUGGACAUGAUUUUCAAAGUCAUAUCACUCAGCCCAAACUCAUGUAUGUCUGAGGUGAAGCACAACCCAGCGUUCCAGGCAGCAGUCGCUUUGCUUUUAGAGGAACAGGAUAAAAAAUACUUCACCUCAGUUAUGUGCCAGCCAUACUUUAUGCUACCUCCUGGUUUUAGGGAUAAAGGGCUGCCUGAAUUCAGCUUGUUAUGUGCCUCAAAAACAGUCACUGGUGCGUCCUCAGCUGGAGCAAAGCUACUUUUCCCUGUCCUGUGAAAGAGAACUCCGGGGUCUUCUGGUUUGUAAACUGUUCAAUAACCAAGGCUUUGAGGCUCAAGAGUGGCCAAGCAUUUUGAAUAAGGGUGGCAGAGAAGUGCAGCCUUUGGCUGCUGCAAGUGCUCUUGUUGGUAUUGUGCCUUUGCUGAUCUUGUUUCUUUCUCCACCACUAAUUUUCCCUUGUGCUCCUUUGAGCUGACUUGUUUGGUGGCUUUGUUUGAUUAAUCCGCUCUGUUUUGCUUUUAACUCCUCACCCUGUGCUGCAGAAUGACACAAAUAGGAAAAACAUUAACAGGAGUAACAGGGCUUCGGUGAAUCUGGUGGAUGCUCGUGACAUUAAACCCCAGCCUGUUGACUCCUGGGUCUAAUUUGCAUGCAUGGCCUAGAGUCCAACCACAUUUUUUUUUAAUUGAGGCGGAGAAAAAAACAUUGAAUUGACACAGGAUUUCAUCAGUCACCACUGCCAUUCCGAUCUGGAGGGCGCUGCAUCACUGACAAGGCUGCGGAUUCUAAGAAAAUGCAGGGAGAAAACACAACUGACUGCCAUUGCCAACCCCAGAGCACCAUGCCUUACAGCAAGACAGUUUGCUUUUUAAAUCAGUUACAUUCCCACCAGACAUAGCUGCCUCCUGCUCCCUCCCACUCCUGCAAGAGUAAAGCAAGCAAGAGAAGAGAAUCCAAGUUCCAUCCGGCUGGCUGCAUUCUUAGGUGACUCUUACAUGUGGAAGGUGCCAAGAAUGAGAAGCGAAGGUCGCGCAGCAGCAAAGAGGACAGCUUCAUAAGUGAACUGCAGAAGAUCUGAAACGAUACCUUAGGUGUAGUCAUGAAGAUAAUAGCACUUUUAUGGAUUGGAUCCCGUGGUUUUCUUUUUGUUUUGGGGGAUUUAUUUUGAACUGUGAAUCUAACACUUUUAAAGGGUUUUUGAAAAAUGCUGAGGUUUUCUUCGUUAUUUCAACAGGAAUUGCAGGAAUGUUGAGUGGGUUUAUUGAAUUUCAAUGAAGAGAAAAUACAGAACAAAAAAUACUAAAUGCUGGCCAAGUGAACUGGAGAGUAGAUAGCAAAAUUGAUGCAAGCUGUAUAAAUCUGCUUUUAGAGUAAGCUAUAUCAAUCACAGUGCUAUAGUAUCGUUAUAAUCUGAUGUACAGUAGUUCUGCCUUUUGAAUUCUGUAAUGGCUCUGCUUUUAUUUCCACAUGAAGGUUUUAAUGUCCCCGGUUCAGAAAUGUAUACUGAGAAAUGGAGUUGGCUGGCUUUUUAUUUUCUUAUUCUCAAAGAUUGCAGUAAGGAGCUUUUACAUCUUAAUCGUGUCAGUGUUACAUUGAUGACAACUAACAGUUUAUUUUGCUGUAGCUGUUAACACAUUGGAAGAAAUAGAAGCUUCUUCACAGGAUGUCUUAUUUUGAACAUACUAUAUGCAGUUUAGGUGGGUCUGUCAUUUAUGUUUGAUGGUAAAUUUAUCACUGUUGGAUCCAUGUUUGCUUUGGGCUAAAGAUCCUGGUGGAAAUGUCAUAAAGGGAACAGAUUAGACAUUUUUAAAAUCAUCAGCAUUUCUGUGUUCCCUUGAUUUUGUUUGGAGCUUACAUGUUCUUGGUGGUAUGAAAAUCAUCCACACGCAGAUGUUCUCCUCUUAGAUGCCAUGGUGUGCUCUGAUAAGGCAGAAUUUUUACCUCAUGAGAACAGAGAACUAUGCUGCAUCUACAGAAUCUGAUAAUGCCGUGAACUAAGUGACUUUAGAUCACUGAUUUCCUCCAGGCAUUGGUCAAGAGAGGACAGCAGAAGAGAAUAGGAAGGAAAUAUCUCACCAGUAGCAUCACAGGGCUUUUGCUGAUUUUGUUUGGUUGCCACAUUUAAUUCUAAAUAAGCUCCUAAAAGUGGUGUGACUGGAAAGCACAUUUUUGAGCCUAACAAACAUCAUUCGGGGUUUUCAGUGCCUGCCAUUUCCUUUGUAAUUAAAAAGGGGAAAUAUCCAAAACCUUGCCUCACCCAAAAUAUUACUGUAAUAGUAAACGUCUGAAGUUUUUGUUUAAAAAAAAAAAAAUGAAAAAAAAAUGAAAAACACACAAAAAAAGCAAGUACCAAGAGCUUUCUAUCUUCAUGAGUAUAUUGAAAAAUUGACAUGAAUACAUAUAUAUAAAUAAAUAAAUCUAUAUAUCUAUAUAUAUAUUGUUGUGCAGAGGAUAGGUUAAUAAAACCAUGUAAAGUAGUUUGCAGGAGAGGGAAGCAUUUGUUGAUUCAGGGAAAAAGACUGAUGCCAGAAGCUGUCAGUGGUUUGGAUGAUGCAUGUGCUCCUUCACCCUCCUCCCUUUUGACCCUCAUCUUCUAUGUACAUUGCAGUAGUUACUUCUGGAUCAUAGAGAAGGUGAAGUUGCUCAGAGCAAAUUAAGAUAGCGAAUAUUUGUGGGGUUUUCACCUGCAUGAGAGUCCUGUUGGACCAAAAAUGCUCAGCAGAUCAAGGGAAGCAGAGAUGCAUCUGUGAUUAUCAACAUCUGUGUCAGAGGCAGUGUCUCUCUAUGUGUAGACAUAAAGUGUGGCAAUGAAACCAGAUACAUAGUCUGACUGUAUAUUAUAUCAAUGGUGCUCUUUUCAUACUUGUUCUGCCAAUACGCGGAGACCCUUUUAACCAAGCUACACAGAAACGUUUUAUAUCACUUUUGGUUAUGUACUUGGUGUAUUCUUUUUGUAUAUGAAAGGAUUUUUUUAAAAACGUUCAGUAAUUAGCAAUGGAACCUGCUUUGUAGCUAAUUAGAACAGUUGAAGAAAAGGGCCGUGCUGUCAGUCUGUCCCUGAUCUACUUCAAACCAUAUAUUUACCAAAGGAGUCUGAGCAAAAGUUCAUUUAAAAUAAAGACCUGACUGUUGAGUCUCUGCUAAGACUUUGUGAUUUAGUUGUUGUACAAAUAUUUCAAAGCCAGCAAGAGGUUAGAAGAGAAAAGUGCAGGAAAGGGGGAAGUGAUGUGACUGGGGCCAGUUAUGUCCAUGCCGCCUGUGCCAGGUGUCAUAUGGCUCUCAGUGGGGCACUACAAGGACACUCAAAAUCUGUAUGGCUAUCUAUUUUUGUCUCUGUCAUUGGUGAAUCAAACUAAAAACACUAAGGAAGACUUGAGAAGCAAAUUUAGCCCCAUCCAACUUCCCCCCCGAAGACCUUUUCAUAUUUAUACUGCAUCCUCUGUCAAGCAAACCUCCCUGUCAGGUUAGAUGGAAUUGGCUGCCCAGGCUUGUUGUAGCAAACUGUUCUUCUUCCUUUUCCCUGGAAUAAAGUGUUCUUGGCUUCCAGUUGAGAACGUGGUUUAUUGCAACAAAAAAGCAAAGGAUAGUACAUAAUAGGUGAAACACCAAGUCCACGUGCCAAGACGUCCUCCUAGGAAACAACACCUUACUUCUGCCCUUCCCAUGCCUUACAGUAAUGAAUUCCUAGGUAUGUAGCAAUAACCAAUAAUGCAUCAUUUAUGUUACCUUGUUUGUUAUUUUUUCUUCUCACCAAGCUGUUGUUCAGAUGAUUAGGAAAGAAAAUGGAUUGGGAAUGACUUGCAUAUGAGACUGUUGCCUUGUACUAUCAGCUCACAGGCCAAAAUCUCUAGCAAGAUACUUUGAACUUAGUUUGGUGAUUUAUCCAAUGUCCUUUUCGUCUGUGGCCACACACCAACGUCUGGAAUGCGUUGGUGAGAUGUGUGUCCACACCUGUCCCUCCAUCCCUCCUCGUUACUGCAAGUGUGACUGGGCUGGUUGAGCGAUUCUGGAAUGUGGGUAAAUAAGCCAGUAAUUGUUGAGUUUGUUCUGGCAGCAGGGACAGUAUGUUAAGAAGGGAAAGUGGCAGUGUGUGUAACUAAUGCUGCAGUGUGGUCUAGAGGCUCCUGCUCAAAGGCAGGCAGUGCUUUUUAGGGCUCAGGUAUGUGACCUCCUCUUUUCCUGUUGGUUCCACUGUGAAAACUGGAGGCAGUCUGUCUGCAAAGAGCAGAGAUGUAUAGAAGAGAUUUAUACCUGCAGAAAUUUAAGUGGGAGGGGUGGUUGUGGAAGGAGAAGAUAGGUGUUGCAAGACUCCUAGUAAAGAGGAGGAAGAAAUUUGAUGGCCCAGUAAGGGCUGAGAUAAUGGGAUGGAAGAGAUUUCUGAUGGCAAAUAACUGCUGAACUUUCAUCCCAGGAGAUGGCUUGCUCACCGCCCAGGCAUAUUCAGUAGGCUGUGGAGGUUAAACAGAAUGGAAAACCAAGUAACAACACUGACGGGGCCACUUAACAUUAUGUGUCAAGACUGCCAGAGAAGCAUCAAAUUGGGCUGUAGAGUGGAUGAGUGAUCAAUCCUUCCAACUCAAAGGAUUCUGUGAUUCUGUUUGUGCAGCAUCCAGCAGAAAGGCAAGAUGUAAGGACAUUUUGUUUGCAUUCUGUGUUGGAGCUAAAAAGUAAUUUAGCUGUAAGUGUAACUUGACAAAUGAAAGAUGGUUGCCAGCUUGAAAUGUUCCCCAGGGAGCAGCUUGGGCAGCCAGAAAUCUUACAGGCAGAACACCUGAGUGUCCUGGUUCUACACUUGUGCGUUCAGACCCACAGAUUCUAAGUGUACAUAUUAGGAAAGGAAAUCUCAUCUCCUUUGCCAAGACUUCAAAAAGGGACUGACUUGGGGACUAGGAACUGACUUGUUAGGUGAUGCAUUAAGGGGGUGGGGGUGGCAUGUUUGUUAAAGCCAAUUAGUAAGUUCCUGCCAACUGAGAGCAAUAGUUUUCAGUGAUGACUUCUAGCGUGCAGUUUAUGCUGGCAAAGCAGUUUUCACUCCUACAGCAGUUUUGUUAGCUUGAAGGUGGUGAGUUACUUUCUGUUACUUGCCUUAAAUUUGAGCUUAUGGGCUCUGCUGCUUGUGAGAGAGAGGCACAUUUUAAGCACUUGGAGUAAGUGAAGCUUCAGAAGCCACAUGAAUGCAUUAUAGAUGGUUACAGUCCCUUCUGUCUAGCUGCCCACUCGCUGUAAACUGUAGUGUGCCAGUAAGUUCAGCCAGAAGUUUUGUCCUGUUGGGGUUGGAUUACACUCUCAGUUUUUGAAGGUGUUUAUAUAGGCAUAGUUUCUCGCAGUGUUUUCUUUUUAAUGCCCAUAAAAUCUGGUGUUUCCUUAUCUUUGUCAGAGAAAUCCUCUGAUUUAUUGGUACAGUAACUAAUCUAGUGCAUUUAAAGGGAAGUUGUUAUGAAUCUCUUUUAUUCUAUCUUAAGUUUUACAGCGGGAUAGGAUGUUAGGAAGUCCAUUUGCAAUGAGGAGGAAGAUAGUGCAGAUACUACAAGGCCUGCCAAUCUGGUUCUUACUUUUCAGAAAAACAAAGUAACUAUAGACUAAGAAGCUUACUGGUAAUUAGUAGCUAAUGUGUUUGUAACUAUCAUGUGCCUUAAAAUUUUCAUGGUAGGAGAAUAAAAAAGAAAAAUAAAUCAACAAUGUGUUUUCUGUAAUACUGCUCAACAUUCUCUCUGUAGUUUAGACUGGUGGGGUUUUGCAUUGUAUUUACACUGUACUAUAAAUUGAAACACUUAGAAUGGUUUGAUUUUGCCAGUAUGGAGAGGAAAAAAGGUGGAUUAUGCUUUUCAUGGAACAAAUGUUACCGUGACAGAAUGUAUUAUUAUUAUAGGAUCUUUCCAUAAUGCAGACAAGUAGAAUGCUUGUUAGAAAACCAGGUAUGUAGGAUAACAAUUUGGUGUGUUUUCAAUAAACCAUGCCUGGAAAGAA